RNAcentral lists this ribosomal RNA (738 nucleotides) under uncultured bacterium. RNAcentral describes it as "bacterial SSU rRNA". It matches the Rfam family "Bacterial small subunit ribosomal RNA", at positions 771 to 1501 of the family's 1533-position model. The record is from RNAcentral.
AACAGGAUUAGAUACCCUGGUAGUCCACGCCGUAAACGGUGGGCGCUAGGUGUGGGGACUGGUUCCACGGUUUCCGUGCCGUAGCUAACGCAUUAAGCGCCCCGCCUGGGGAGUACGGCCGCAAGGCUAAAACUCAAAGGAAUUGACGGGGGUCCGCACAAGCGGCGGAGCAUGUGGAUUAAUUCGAUGCAACGCGAAGAACCUUACCUGGGUUUGACAUGCACUGGAUCGCCCUAGAGAUAGGGUUUCCCUUGUGGCUGGUGCACAGGUGGUGCAUGGCUGUCGUCAGCUCGUGUCGUGAGAUGUUGGGUUAAGUCCCGCAACGAGCGCAACCCUUGCCCCAUGUCGCCAGCGGUUCGGCCGGGGACUCGUGGGGGACUGCCGGGGUCAACUCGGAGGAAGGUGGGGAUGACGUCAAGUCAUCAUGCCCCUUAUGCCCAGGGCUUCACACAUGCUACAAUGGCCGGUACAGAGGGUGGCGAGACCGUGAGGUGGAGCGAAUCCCAGAAAGCCGGUCUCAGUUCGGAUCGGGGUCUGCAACUCGACCCCGUGAAGUCGGAGUCGCUAGUAAUCGCAGAUCAGCAAUGCUGCGGUGAAUACGUUCCCGGGCCUUGUACACACCGCCCGUCACGUCAUGAAAGUCGGUAACACCCGAAGCCCAUGGCCCAACCCCCGUGUGGGGGAGGGAGUGGUCGAAGGUGGGACUGGCGAUUGGGACGAAGUCGUAACAAGGUAACC